AGAGAACUUUCCAGAGAUGGAUUGGUGCCUUCGGGAACUCUGAGACAGGUGCUGCAUGGCUGUCGUCAGCUCGUGUUGUGAAAUGUUGGGGUUAAGUCCCGCAACGAGCGCAACCCUUAUCCUUUGUUGCCAGCGGUUAGGCCGGGAACUCAAAGGAGACUGCCAGUGAUAAACUGGAGGAAGGUGGGGAUGACGUCAAGUCAUCAUGGCCCUUACGAGUAGGGCUACACACGUGCUACAAUGGCGCAUACAAAGAGAAGCGACCUCGCGAGAGCAAGCGGACCUCAUAAAGUGCGUCGUAGUCCGGAUUGGAGUCUGCAACUCGACUCCAUGAAGUCGGAAUCGCUAGUAAUCGUGGAUCAGAAUGCCACGGUGAAUACGUUCCCGGGCCUUGUACACACCGCCCGUCACACCAUGGGAGUGGGUUGCAAAAGAAGUAGGUAGCUUAACCUUCGGGAGGGCGCUUACCACUUUGUGAUUCAUGACUGGGGUGAAGUCGUAACAAGGUAGGCGUAGUGCU
RNAcentral lists this ribosomal RNA (520 nucleotides) under uncultured bacterium. RNAcentral describes it as "bacterial SSU rRNA". It matches the Rfam family "Bacterial small subunit ribosomal RNA", at positions 990 to 1509 of the family's 1533-position model. The record is from RNAcentral.